Molecule: non-coding RNA, 656 nt
Organism: Bubalus bubalis (water buffalo)
Lineage: Eukaryota; Metazoa; Chordata; Mammalia; Artiodactyla; Bovidae
Source: the annotation of a RefSeq genome assembly
UACUCACAGUAAGAACAGAAUUUCUUUGGACCCAAGACUCUAUAUUCUUCAGAUUAGGGGUGAAGGCACCUCAGUAACUGGGCAAGGGAUCAUGAAGAGAAAAUGGGGAGCCCUGCUGGGGUUUCUGUGGGUCCAGAUUUGCUGGGUGAGGGGAGUGAAGGUGGAGCAGAGUCCUUCAGUCUUGAGCCUCCAGGAGGGAGCCAACUCUACUCUGAGGUGCAAUUUUUCUGCCACGGUGAGCAGUGUGCAGUGGUUCCAGCAGAAUCCCGGAGGCAGCCUCACCAGGCUCUUUUUCAUAGCUUCAGGGAUGAAGCAGAAUGAAAGGCUGAGUUCCACAGUGAAUUCUAAGGAGCGGUAUAGUACCCUACACAUCACAGCCUCCCAGCUGGAAGACGCAGCCACCUACCUCUGUGCGGUGCAGGCACAGUGCUCCCAGGUGAUCUGCAGCCUGUACCCAAACUGCAGCUGCCUCAGCCCCAGCCCUCCACAGUACUACACCAUCCAAGUUCCUUGUUACUUCUUUGGAUUUCCAGAUUCAUAAUUCAGCAUUUUUUCCUCUGAAGAUCAGAUCCUUUAGGACUGUCAUUUCACUUUUUUUUUUUUUUUCCCUUCUUCUUCCCAGAAAUCUCUCAUGGAUACAAAGCUCUAAUAUGGAG